UACGGGGGGGGCAAGCGUUGUUCGGAAUUACUGGGCGUAAAGGGUUCGUAGGUGGCUUGUUAAGUCAGACGUGAAAUCCCUCGGCUCAACCGGGGAACUGCGUCUGAGACUGAUGAGCUCGAGUGCAGGAGAGGAACGCGGAAUUCCAGGUGUAGCGGUGAAAUGCGUAGAUAUCUGGAGGAACACCGGUGGCGAAGGCGGCGUUCUGGACUGCAACUGACACUGAGGAACGAAAGCCAGGGGAGCAAACGGGAUUAGAUACCCCGGUAGUCCUGGCCCUAAACGAUGAAUGCUUGGUGUGGUGGGUAUCGAUCCCUGCCGUGCCGGAGUUAACGCGUUAAGCAUUCCGCCUGGGGAGUACGGUCGCAAGGCUGAA
Molecule: ribosomal RNA, 376 nt
Filed under: uncultured bacterium
Lineage: Bacteria
Description: bacterial SSU rRNA
Rfam family: Bacterial small subunit ribosomal RNA
Source: RNAcentral